Molecule: ribosomal RNA, 497 nt
Filed under: uncultured bacterium
Lineage: Bacteria
Description: partial 16S ribosomal RNA
Rfam family: Bacterial small subunit ribosomal RNA
Source: RNAcentral
GAUGAACGCUGGCGGCGUGCCUAAUACAUGCAAGUCGAGCGAACGGACGAGAAGCUUGCUUCUCUGAUGUUAGCGGCGGACGGGUGAGUAACACGUGGAUAACCUACCUAUAAGACUGGGAUAACUUCGGGAAACCGGAGCUAAUACCGGAUAAUAUUUUGAACCGCAUGGUUCAAAAGUGAAAGACGGUCUUGCUGUCACUUAUAGAUGGAUCCGCGCUGCAUUAGCUAGUUGGUAAGGUAACGGCUUACCAAGGCAACGAUGCAUAGCCGACCUGAGAGGGGGGUCGGGCAACACUGGAACGGAGCAAGGGCCCAGACCCUAAGGGAGGGAGGAGUAGGGGAACUUUCGGCAUGGGGGGAAAGCUUGCGGGGGAAACGCGGGGUGAGUGAUGAAGGUCUCCGGUCCGUAAACCUCGGUUAUAGGGGAAGACAAUAGGGGUAGGUAAUGGUGCCAACUUUGCGGGAACUAAUCAAGAAAGCCACGGCUACCUCGUG